AAUAAAGUAAGCUAAUAAAAGCUUUUGGGUUCAUACCCCAAAAAUGGAAGGAUAAAUACCUCCCUUUAUUU
This 71-nucleotide transfer RNA is filed under the name Anthenea aspera. RNAcentral's name for it is "tRNA-Met". The record is from RNAcentral. Lineage: Eukaryota; Metazoa; Echinodermata; Asteroidea; Valvatida; Oreasteridae.